This is a non-coding RNA of Acanthosepion pharaonis, 104 nucleotides long. The record is from the annotation of a GenBank genome assembly. NCBI's taxonomy places the organism in Eukaryota, Metazoa, Mollusca, Cephalopoda, Sepiida, Sepiidae.
GCCACACUGAAGCACCGGUUCCCAUAUGAUCAUCAAAGUUGAGCAAUGUUGAACCUGGUCAGUACUUAGAUGGGUGAGCACUUGGAAAUACCAGGUCCUGUAAG